RNAcentral lists this ribosomal RNA (253 nucleotides) under uncultured bacterium. RNAcentral's name for it is "partial 16S ribosomal RNA". It matches the Rfam family "Bacterial small subunit ribosomal RNA", at positions 524 to 776 of the family's 1533-position model. The record is from RNAcentral.
GACGUAGGGCGCGAGCGUUGUCCGGAUUUAUUGGGCGUAAAGAGCUCGUAGGCGGCUUGUUGCGUCGGCUGUGAAAACCCAUGGCUUAACCGUGGGCUUGCAGCCGAUACGGGCAGGCUAGAGUUCGGUAGGGGAGACUGGAAUUCCUGGUGUGGCGGUGAAAUGCGCAGAUAUCAGGAGGAACACCGGUGGCGAAGGCGGGUCUCUAGUACGGUACUGACGCUGAGACGCGAAAGCGUGGGGAGCGAACAGG